CCUCAAAUAAGGGAAAAACUGCAACAGAAUUUUCUGAGCUCUCAUCUCCACUGGGAACCGGACAAGGUGACGUCGUGUUUCUUGGCUGUCUCUCUGUUGCAGCUCAUGCCAUGUAGUACUCGCAAUAAUCCCCCAGCGACUGUAGCUUUUUGAUAUGACAGUGUUGGUGUUAUCCUGCUGUAGCUGUACAGAUGCUCCGUGCUGGUGAGAUGCUGUUUCUCUUGGCUCAUAUCUCUCUGGGCCGUGUACAAGCCCUUUGCCUCACUCCGCUCUUGGGUAGGGACAAUGAGCACAGAACCAUUGUGAUGUUCCCUCAAUUUCCUUGAAAUUCAAUGUUUUUGUUAUGAAGCAUACCGAAGAGCUGGGCUGGAGGACAUGCAUGGUGCCCUGCUGACUCUGUCUUGAAAAACCCCAGCUUGAUGAGAGCAAGGGACCAUCCUUUCUUCUUCCUAAGUGUGGGACAACCUGCGUUUUCCUUGAACGGUGGAAAGGAGAAGUUCCAGCUGCAUCGGUCAAGCAGCAGUCGAAAUGUUGCCCUUUUGAACCUGGCAUCUGACUUGGCUGCCAUGUCCACUGAGUAAUCUUUAACAGAGGUCAGAGAGGAGGUCUCUAUGGCUGCCAUAAACAUCUCGGAGAGCUGCGGAUGUUUAGAGCUGCCUAUGCCCUGGUAAAAUGAGGCUUGGUGGUUAGCAGUGGAGGGUCAUCAUCCAGAGGACAAGCACGGAAGAGGCACUGGGGACUUCUGAUGUGAACGACUGUGAGAAGAACAAGUGUGAAAACAACUGAUUGGGGUACGUAGAUUUUGCUGUUAGUGAGAGAAAAUAUUAAUCCCACUUGUUUCAGGGAUAGCAUGUAAAGUCUCUUCAGUAUCAGUCUUUCUGUUGAAUACACUUCCAGAAAAUAUUUUGUGUUUCAGGGACUGGGUUCCUCAGCAGGUUUUCUCUUUUGAGAGCUUACACUGAAUGCUCUGAAAUUGCGAGAGCAAUCUCAACAGCUGGUGUGUGGGCUCCACGCUCUGGUUUCAUUCAUUCACCCACCAACCCUGUACAGCGACAGCACACUGUCCAAGAGCCAAACACUAUUUCUUCUGCAAUUCCCAAUAUCCUGACAAAUGCAGGGAGCCGAUGCUCUGCAAGCCCGGGAACCCUGGAGGUGUGCAUGUAUUUGUUUUUCAUGGUAUGUACCAGGCAGUAACUCAAAAUAGAUAGCAGGAAACGUAGCAGGUUGGUAGCGGAAAGACAGUGUCUGUUUGUAAAGACCAACCAUUCCAGUGCUCGUACGGCAUCUGAGGACAUGCUUCAAUGAAGAGGAAUGAGCUAUUUGAAGGAAAAAAACCAAAAAAAAUCAUAUUCACAUUUCAUGAAAGGAGUUUGAAAAACACCUGCUUGACAGAGCCAGUGACUCAGGCCAAGGUUUAAAAUACUUCAAAAUCAGGACAAGAAACAGAGGGGGGGUGUGACCCUGACAGACACUGUUAGUCAAAGAAGAAAUUAUCUUGCACCGAGGUGCAGGUGCACCUGUUAGAUGACCCACACUGACACAUAACUGAUGUACAUUCCUUUCUUUAUGUUUUUUUCCCCGGCGUAGUUUACAUACUUAAAAAUACAAACUUGAGUGAUAAAAAUCACUCAGCCUUUAAGUGAACAUCCAAAAUUCCAUAAAUUAGGCCAGCCAGGAAUAUGUUUGCUGUUCAUAUAAGGAUGUAUGAUAAAAAUUUCUAUGGAUAGAAUUUUUGUGCCUGUCUCAUAUAACAUACAGACGUUUAUCUUGAAAUACUAUUUACUUGUUAUUCCUACAUUUAUUUCUGAGUUUAUUAUCUAAGCAGUUUUUUCUAUUAUUUGGAAAGUGAAGCCUUCAUUGUAAACAAUCCUUCUGUGUAAGUUUUUUUUGACAGCUCAUUAGGUCUGUGAAGUUGCAUCUUUAUGGGACAUAUUUAUGAGGUACUUCCAGAUGUAAGUGGGAAAGAAAAAGCAGAUGAAGCAAUGAUUUAUAUAUUUUUUUUCCUUUCUUAAGAGACACCACAAAAUUAUCAGGAUUUUUUAAGAGACGCAAUACUUGCCAUGUUUUGGACACCACCCAGAAACCUUUCAGUGCAGAGCUUUGGAAAUAUCUCGAGCCUCUUAGAAAACCAUAUGUUUAUUUUAUCCUAUAGACCAAACAAAUAAUUUUCAGGUUUAAAGCAUGUGAUAAUGGGAAAGAAGAAAAACACAGAAAAUUAUAAACACAUCUGAGAACUCUAGUGAGAUACUGUACCAAGGUUGGUAAUACCUUUUCCUAUUUCCAUGUCUCACUCUUGCCUGAGCAACCAAGGAAAGCGUUCCUAAUCCUCUUGCAGUUUCCUGUAUCAUGGGUCAGCGGAGUGUUGGCUAGUAACGUGAUUAUGGCUCUUUUCCUUUUCCCAACUAAGAGAAACAAGACAUGAAAGAGAAAGAUUGAAUGAAGACCAAAAUAGCCAGUACUAAUUCAUUUUUCCCCCAAAUGGGUGAACACUUGCUGCAUAAUUGCAGUUAUGUUCAAGGCCAUCAGCAUUACUACACUGUGAAAAUGUCAGAGCUUCCAGGUGAAUGUGGUUUAUGGGCUGUUUUGCCCGAUUUCUUUCUACAAGGCCAUUUUCUGAGCACAUGGGUUUAUACAGCUUUUAAUGCGAUGUUCAGCCAGUGCUGCUUCACAACUGAUUCAGUCAGCACUUUGGCUGAUUGAUAACUCCUUUUUUGUUGGAUUGCGCUCUAUUAAAUAAUACUGAAAGGUUAGUAUAUAUCUUCAACCCUCAUUGAUUUUCUGUUAAAUGAAAGUGAGUUAACUCCUUUUAGCCAACGUUGGUUGGAAAGAUAAAAAUUCUUCCACCAUCAACCAUAAUUUCAGAUCUGUCUUCAGAACACUUCACCUGAAAAAAGGUUUUAAAACUAUGAUUUGCAUGUUAAGAUUAAAAAAAGAACACCACUGAGGAGAUAGUGCUGGGUGCUCGUGUCACCUCUCUGAAGUUAGUGAGACUGAGCAAGAGGUUAUUUAUACUCCACACAAAACUAGGAUCUUAGAAAGUGGAGCUGAGCACUUGCAAAUCCAGCUGAAAUAAACAGCAGCUGAGGCUAAUCGCUUUGAGAUAUCAGGCUUUUAACCUUUAACGUGCACAGGUCCUUUUUAGCAGGCCACAUAACAAACAGCUGAAGCAGAGAUACAAACAUUACUUAUUUUUGAGGCUUAAUGAAUCAACAAAAAAGGUCAGUUCUCAAUUCCAAAUGUAAUUUUCUCCCCUUUUAAAGUAUGUUUUAUAUACUUGAAUAAAGAUGAAGGAAAUUAUAAUACCAUUGAAGGUACCCAGCUCUGUUUGAGCUGUCUUGGCUGCUGCUUUCAUUUGAAGUGACAUUGCUGGUUUUGAACUUGCACCCUUUAAAAACUGAGAGUGCGAAGAAAUUGAAUUAAGUUGUGCCUCUGGGAUUUGAGGUAAGUUCAGAAUGUUUUUUCAGAUAACACAUUAGUUCCACAGCUCUAUUAUAAAACUAAGUGAUGGAUAACUUGUUUUGAUGUUGUAACAUAUGGCCCCCAAUCUUCAGAGAUGUCUGUACAUCGCUUUGUGCACGAGUCACCCUACUGAACUUAAUAGGGCUAUUCACAUGCUUGACGUUAAGCAUGUAUGCAAAUCUUUGCAAGACUGGAACCUAAUGUGAUUAUAAUAAGCCAAUUCCAGUGCGAACCUAAGAGUAUGAAGUUUCAAAACUGAGGUCAAAAUGAGAGUUUGCAAAAGUUUGUCAUAUU
Harpia harpyja (harpy eagle) is the source of this 3753-nucleotide long non-coding RNA. RefSeq lists it as uncharacterized. Lineage: Eukaryota; Metazoa; Chordata; Aves; Accipitriformes; Accipitridae. The transcript has 2 exons. The record is from RefSeq and is a predicted model, not a curated record.